ACGGAAGAUAAGGGUUAAGAAACAAAUAAACCCUCAAGGAGUGCCCCGUCCUCUUUGCUGAACUUUUAUACUUGAGGUUUGAGCCUUAAUCCCCGGGACCAACUAAAUCUCAAGGAUGGUUUCAUGAGCUUCCUUCAGAAAAUGCCCCCUGGACGUGGCUAAGAGUGGGUGUGGCAGAUGGUGGAGCCCCUUAGCAACUAACCUUCUCACAUAAACCUCAACCCAGUUGCCAAUCGCUGAUUUAUAGCACUUUGGACCCAACAAAUACUCACGAGAGAUGUGGUCAUUGGCUUCAAGCAUCCUAAAGACUGUGUUGUAGAAGAGGGAUGAGCAUCAAUCGGCUUGGAUCCAGAGGGCAGCAGAGAUAGACAAAAGGAGUGAAGUCAAGAGGCUAAUUUAGGCUGAAUGUCUGGAAAAACUUCUUGACAGUGAGAGUCAUCCAAGAGUGGAGUUCUCCUUCUUGGAGGACUUCAAGCAGAGACUGGAUGACCACCUCUCAGGUAAGGAAACAGAAGCCCAGAAAGAUGAAGGCUUCACCAGAGUCACACAAGUAGUAAAUGCCAAAACUGGGACUUGGAACUCUAGUUCUCUGACUAAAUCCAGGAUGCUUUCUGCUAUAUCUGGCCCAGAACUUUGAAAUUCUGAACUUGGCCAAAAAUUUGAAGAGACUUAAAAAAACAUUUCUUUCUUUACUUUAUUCUAGCAACAAAUUUACUCAUAAAUUUUCUAAAGUUACAUUCAUGUUGCCUCCUUCCCCUCUUUCCUCCCUCUUGCUCUAGAGUUGACUAGCAAUUCUACUGGAUUAUAUUUGUAUUAUCACUCAAAACCUAUUUCCAUAUUAUUGACUAUUUGUAAGAGAGUAAUCUUAUAGAACCAAAACCCCCCAUAGGGGCUUAUAACCCAUAUAACAAGUGAUAAAUCAGAUGUUUUCUUCUGCAUUUCUACUCCAACAAUUCUUUCUCUAGCUGUGGAUAGCAUUCUUUUCAUAAGUCCUUUAUAAUUGUCUUGGAUCAUUGUAUUGCUGUUAGUA
This 1030-nucleotide long non-coding RNA is filed under the name Monodelphis domestica (gray short-tailed opossum). RNAcentral describes it as "lncRNA (ENSMODG00000051056.1)". The record is from RNAcentral. Lineage: Eukaryota; Metazoa; Chordata; Mammalia; Didelphimorphia; Didelphidae.